UUAACAGGCUGAUCCCAAAAGGGAAGUAGCUGCCCUCCCUCUCCCAAAGGCAAAUGAAACUGAACUGUUCACAGUGGCCAUAUCUAGGUGGUGGAAUUAAAGGAAAAUCAUGGCAUGAAGCAAGACAUUUGCUGUACCCAUAGCUUCACCACUCUGAUCUCCGUGAUUCCUACAGAAGAAUCCUCCAGAGACACAGCUGAACUGCCCUUCUAAGGAGAGAAGGGCCCCUGUUCUCUUGAAUCUGGUUUCCCUUAACAUUUCUCUGGCCCCAGUGACAGCUCAGAAACACACAAACUCUGUGUUAAGAAAACUAAGAGGUCAUUCAUGUUGGUUUCUUUAAGCCCACCACAAGCCUAGAUAGACUGAAUGGUGCCCUUAUUGCAAACCCUCCAUGGUAGCCAGGAUACAAAGUCUUCCCAAAUUCCCUUGGAGCUUUCCCUUCUCUGAGUACACAAACCACCACUCAGUUUAAUGAAUAAGCCUCUCAAUUCCAGCUUCUACUUGUUGGCAGAUUCAGACAUAGGCCUUUUUCUAUAAUAAACACACCUUCAAUCUUC
Leptonychotes weddellii (Weddell seal) is the source of this 557-nucleotide non-coding RNA. The record is from RefSeq and is a predicted model, not a curated record. NCBI's taxonomy places the organism in Eukaryota, Metazoa, Chordata, Mammalia, Carnivora, Phocidae.